UGGAUCUGGUUUGGUUAGAAAGAUCUUGACUGAACAGUUAUCCACAAGUCACCAGAAUGAUGACGUCGACAAUUUUUCUCAGUUUGUUGCUGGCUUUAUUACCCUGUGUCCAGUCGGAGAUUACUUUGCUUCAACCAGAGGCAGAGACCGGCCGAGCCGGAGGCUCCCUAAGACUGACCUGUAAAACCAGCGGUUUCGAUCUUGGCAGAUCCUACAUGCAUUGGAUCCGACAAGUUCCUGUACAGGGGCUGGAGUGGAUAGUUUACUACUAUACUUCAUCGAGCAAUAACUAUGCGCCAGCGAUUAAAGAUCGAUUUACUGCAUCCAAAGACACUUCAAAAAACAUCUUCGCAUUGGAAAUGAAGAGCCUGAAGAUCGACGACACCGCCAUCUAUUACUGUGCAAGAGAUCACUCUGCGACGAACAACGGCUGGACCCACUUCGAGUACUGGGGACAAGGAACCAUAGCGACCGUGACUACAGCGACACUGUCUUCUCCGACACUUUAUGGCUUAGUCUCCUCCUGUCAGCAACACAACAUUGACAGUUCAGUUAUCUAUGGUUGCUUGGCGAUGGACUAUUACCCUGGCGUCGCCAGUGUGACCUGGAAGAAACGUGGGCAGUCGAUCACAGCUGGAUUUAAGACUUACCCAUCGGUGAGAAACAAGCAGGGAACUUACACACUGAGCAGCCAGUUAGCCAUCAACGAGUCAGGUGCGGAAUGUGGCCACAUAUCCUGUGAGGUUCGACAGAGCGGGUCCGACAAGAGCACUGGAAUGCCAUGUGCACUUGACCCUCCGACUGUUCUCCUAACUGUAAGUUCCAGUGAAGAAAUCGAGGGCAGAAAAUUUGCAAUCAUCGUCUGUUCAAUCAGUGACUUCCACUCAAAGUCAAUCUCCGUGAAUUGGUUGAAGAACGGACGACGCGUGGAUUCUGGUAUCUUCACUUCUCCCGUGUGUGAAGCGAAUGGAAACUUCUCAGCGACCAGUCGCCUGAGAGUCCCUUAUGCUGAAUGGUUGGACAAAGCAGUCUAUACAUGCCAGGUCAAUUAUGGAGGGGUCAUUCAAAGUUGGAACAUCACCGGACCUCAGGUUUCCGAGUGCCAUGGUUACAAAGCUAAAAUACUACCACCACCAGUCGAACAGGUCUUACUGGAGGCGACGGUGACAUUAACAUGUGUUGUGUCAAAUCUUCAUUCUGGAGUCAGCUUCACCUGGAUACAAGGCGAGAAGACUCUGAAAUCAGAGAUUGGUCACCAGUCCGGAGAGCAUUCCGAUGGUGCGAUCAGCAAAUUAGAUAUUUCUACUGAAGCCUGGCUGAGUGAGGUUGUUUUCGAAUGCGUGGUGAAUCAUCAGUAUCUACCGACUCCUCUGAGAGACUCCAUCCACAAGGAGAAAAUUGAAAAUCCACUGGAGCCAUCGGUGUCUGUCCUCCUGCCAACGACAGAAGAACUCUCCAUGCAGAGGUUUGUUGCCCUCACCUGUUUAGUCAGAGGUUUCAGGCCCCGAGAGAUCUUUGUCAAGUGGACAACCGACGGCAAGCCGGUUAAUCCCGGUAACUACAAGAACACCGAAGUGACGGCAGAGAGCGACAACACCUCCUUCUUCUUGUACAGCCUAUUAUCGAUUGCAGCGGAGGAGUGGGCCAGCGGUGCUUCUUACUCCUGUGUGGUGGGACAUGAAGCGAUUCCAUUGAAGAUCAUCAACAGAACGGUUGAUAAAUCCAGCGGUAAACCGAGUUUUGUGAAUAUUUCGCUUGCACUGAUGGACACCAUUAAUUCAUGCCAAUGAAAAUCUCAAGGUUACCCUUAAGAAUUCAAUAAAAGUAAUAAAAUGUU
This is a non-coding RNA of Rhincodon typus (whale shark), 1837 nucleotides long. NCBI's taxonomy places the organism in Eukaryota, Metazoa, Chordata, Chondrichthyes, Orectolobiformes, Rhincodontidae. The record is from the annotation of a RefSeq genome assembly.